GAUGAACGCUGGCGGCGUGCCUAAUACAUGCAAGUCGAGCGAACAGACGAGGAGCUUGCUCCUCUGACGUUAGCGGCGGACGGGUGAGUAACACGUAGAUAACCUACCUAUAAGACUGGGAUAACUUCGGGAAACCGGAGCUAAUACCGGAUAAUAUAUUGAACCGCAUGGUUCAAUAGUGAAAGACGGUUUUGCUGUCACUUAUAGAUGGAUCCGCGCCGCAUUAGCUAGUUGGUAAGGUAACGGCUUACCAAGGCGACGAUGCGUAGCCGACCUGAGAGGGUGAUCGGCCACACUGGAACUGAGACACGGUCCAGACUCCUACGGGAGGCAGCAGUAGGGAAUCUUCCGCAAUGGGCGAAAGCCUGACGGAGCAACGCCGCGUGAGUGAUGAAGGUCUUCGGAUCGUAAAACUCUGUUAUUAGGGAAGAACAAAUGUGUAAGUAACUAUGCACGUCUUGACGGUACCUAAUCAGAAAGCCACGGCUAACUACGUG
Molecule: ribosomal RNA, 497 nt
Filed under: uncultured bacterium
Lineage: Bacteria
Description: partial 16S ribosomal RNA
Rfam family: Bacterial small subunit ribosomal RNA
Source: RNAcentral